RNAcentral lists this unclassified non-coding RNA (200 nucleotides) under Epicoccum sp. RNAcentral describes it as "partial internal transcribed spacer 2". Lineage: Eukaryota; Fungi; Ascomycota; Dothideomycetes; Pleosporales; Didymellaceae. The record is from RNAcentral.
UUAAGUUCAGCGGGUAUCCCUACCUGAUCCGAGGUCAAGAGUGUAAAAAAUGUACUUUUGGACGUCGUCGUUAUGAGUGCAAAGCGCGAGAUGUACUGCGCUCCGAAAUCAAUACGCCGGCUGCCAAUUGUUUUAAGGCGAGUCUACACGCAGAGGCGAGACAACCACCCAACACAAGCAGAGCUUGAAGGUACAAAUGA